CCCUUAGAUGUUCUGGGCCGCACGCGUGCUACACUGAGUAAAUCAAUGGGUAAGGGAACACGAAAGUGCAACCUAAUCUUGAAAUUUGCUCGUGAUGGGGAUCGACGGUUGCAAUUUUCCGUCGUGAACGAGGAAUACCUUGUAGGCGCGUGUCAUCAUCACGCGCCGAAUACGUCCCUGCCCUUUGUACACACCGCCCGUCGCUCCUACCGAUUGAGUGAUCCGGUGAGGCUUUGGGAUCUGAGCGGAAAGAGCGUUUCGCUGUUUCUGCUCGGAAAACUCAGUCGAACCUUAUCAUUUAGAGGAAGGAGAAGUCGUAACA
This 322-nucleotide ribosomal RNA is filed under the name uncultured eukaryote. RNAcentral describes it as "partial 18S ribosomal RNA". It matches the Rfam family "Eukaryotic small subunit ribosomal RNA", at positions 1470 to 1796 of the family's 1831-position model. The record is from RNAcentral.